RNAcentral lists this ribosomal RNA (497 nucleotides) under uncultured bacterium. RNAcentral's name for it is "partial 16S ribosomal RNA". It matches the Rfam family "Bacterial small subunit ribosomal RNA", at positions 28 to 507 of the family's 1533-position model. The record is from RNAcentral.
GAUGAACGCUGGCGGCGUGCCUAAUACAUGCAAGUCGAGCGAACGGACGAGAAGCUUGCUUCUCUGAUGUUAGCGGCGGACGGGUGAGUAACACGUGGAUAACCUACCUAUAAGACUGGGAUAACUUCGGGAAACCGGAGCUAAUACCGGAUAAUAUUUUGAACCGCAUGGUUCAAAAGUGAAAGACGGUCUUGCUGUCACUUAUAGAUGGAUCCGCGCUGCAUUAGCUAGUUGGUAAGGUAACGGCUUACCAAGGCGACGAUGCAUAGCCGACCUGAGAGGGUGAUCGGCCGCACUGGAACUGAGACACGGUCCAGACUCCUACGGGAGGCAGCAGUAGGGAAUCUUCCGCAAUGGGCGAAAGCCUGACGGAGCAACGCCGCGUGAGUGAUGAAGGUCUUCGGAUCGUAAAACUCUGUUAUUAGGGAAGAACAUAUGUGUAAGUAACUGUGCACAUCUUGACGGUACCUAAUCAGAAAGCCACGGCUAACUACGUG